Molecule: non-coding RNA, 208 nt
Organism: Paramuricea clavata
Lineage: Eukaryota; Metazoa; Cnidaria; Anthozoa; Malacalcyonacea; Plexauridae
Source: the annotation of a GenBank genome assembly
CCCUAUUCUGUUAUACUGUUGCUAGAGUUUAGGACGCUAUUCUUGUUGUAUUGAGUUUUCUCAAUUUUCAUUCUUUAUAGAGUAUUUUAGAGUAUAAUUAUAACAUAUGAUAUGGAUAUAAUGGAGAUUACGAACAGUUAACGAAAGUUUUAGCAAACUUUCUUUUUUUCAAGAGGGGGAGUGUGAUGUGAAGUCAGUCACGUUAUGA